UUACUGAUGAAGAGUCCAAAACUAGAACGAAACAGCUGUCCAGUAC
Molecule: non-coding RNA, 46 nt
Organism: Trichobilharzia regenti
Lineage: Eukaryota; Metazoa; Platyhelminthes; Trematoda; Strigeidida; Schistosomatidae
Source: Rfam